UAGCGCGUGCGAACCCAUUCCAAAGAGAGAGAAGAAAAACAGAGAUGUGAGAAAGCGAGUGACGAAAGGUGAGAGUCAGAUAUUUCGAAACCCUAAAAUCUGAAAGGAAUUUGGGAAAAAAAAAGAGGAAAAUUUGCUAUACCGGUACACCCCACUCGCUCUUGCGCCUCGCGUGAGUCAUCCAUCUCAGAUCGAACGAAGGUCCAUCUCCAACCUCCUCCUUCUUCCUUACUUGGUAACCUUAAGAUCACUAACUGAAGGAAAUUGUAUACGUCAUGGACAUUGAUCUUCGGUUACCAUCUGGUGAACAUGAUAAAGAAGGUGAAGAAUCAACUGCCAUUGAUAACAUGUUGGAUGGUGAAGAGAAACUACAUAAUGGAGAUAUUAUAAGUGGGAAUAUGGUCGAUAUAGGAGAUGAAGUACACACUGAAGAUGGUGGAGAUUUGAACUCUCCCACAGCAAAUAUGGUAGUCUUUAAAGAAGAUACAAAUCUUGAACCACUUUCUGGUAUGGAAUUUGAAUCACACGGAGAAGCCUAUUCUUUCUAUCAAGAGUAUGCACGUUCUAUGGGAUUUAACACUGCGAUUCAAAAUAGCAGGCGGUCAAAGACAUCAAGGGAAUUUAUUGAUGCGAAAUUUGCUUGUUCUAGAUAUGGGACCAAGCGUGAGUAUGACAAGUCCUUUAAUCGGCCUCGUUCUAGGCAAAGCAAACAAGACCCAGAUAAUGUAACUGGACGAAGAUCAUGCUCAAAGACAGAUUGCAAAGCUAGCAUGCAUGUGAAGAGGAGGUCAGAUGGGAAAUGGGUUAUACACAAUUUUGUCAAGGAGCAUAACCAUGAACUAUUACCUGCCCAAGCUGUUAGUGAACAAACAAGAAAGAUGUAUGCUGCGAUGGCUAGACAAUUUGCUGAAUACAAAAGUGUGGUAGGCCUGAAAAAUGACCCCAAGAAUCCAUUUGAAAAGGGUCGUAAUUUGGCAGUUGAGGCAGGAGAUUUGAAGAUUUUGCUUGAUUUUUUCACGCAGAUGCAGAAUGUCAAUGCUAACUUCUUCUAUGCAGUUGAUGUGGGUGAAGAUCAACGUAUUAAAAAUUUGUUCUGGGUCGAUGCUAAAAGCAGGCAUGACUAUGCUAAUUUCAGUGAUGUAGUGUCUUUUGAUACCACCUACAUUAGAAAUAAAUAUAAAAUGCCUCUUGCUCUUUUUAUUGGAGUGAAUCAGCACUAUCAAUUCAUGUUGCUUGGGUGUGCCUUGAUAUCAGAUGAAAGUGUGACUACAUAUUCCUGGCUAAUGCAAACGUGGCUGAAAGCCAUGGGCGGACAGGUACCAAAAGUAAUAAUAACUGACCAUGACAAAGUGCUGAAAUCAGUUAUUUCAGAGGUCUUUCCGAUUGUUCAUCAUUGUUUUUUCUUAUGGCAUAUAUUGGGGAGGGUUAGUGAAACUCUUGGUCAUGUAAUCAAACAACAUGAAAAUUUCAUGGCGAAAUUUGAAAAAUGCAUCUACAGGUCUUGGACGAUUGAAAAAUUUGAUAAGAGGUGGUGGAAGAUUCUUGAUAAAUUUGAGCUCAGAGGUGAUGAAUGGAUUCAUUCACUGUAUGAAGAUAGAAAACAAUGGGUUCCAUCGUUCAUGAGGGAUGCUCUAUUGGCUGGGAUGUCUACUGUACAAAGAUCUGAUAGUGUAAACUACUACUUUGAUAAGUAUGUGCAUAAGAAGACCAGUGUACAGGAAUUUCUAAAACAACAUGAAACAAUUCUACAAGAUAGGUAUGAAGAGGAAGCUAAGGCUGAUUCUGAUACAUGGAACAAACAGCCAACAUUAAAAUCUCCUUCACCAUUAGAGAAAAGUGUUUCUGGGGUAUAUACACAUGCUGUGUUUAAAAAAUUUCAAGUUGAGGUUUUGGGUGCGGUUGCCUGUAUUCCUAAGAAGGAAAGACAAGAUGAGAUAAGCAUUAUUUUUCAAGUUCAAGAUUUUGAAAAGGGGCAAGACUAUCAAGUUUCAUGGAGUGAGAUGAAGUCCGAAGUUUCUUGUUUGUGCCGGUUAUUUGAAUACAAAGGUUAUCUUUGUAGACAUGCACUGAUUGUUCUCCAAAUGUGUGGCCUGUCUGUCAUCCCACCCCAGUAUAUAUUGAAACGAUGGACAAGAGAUGCAAAGAACAGACAUUUAACAGGAGAAGAAUCUGGUCAAUUACAGACUAGGGUGCAACGAUAUAAUGAUUUGUGUCAACGGGCAAUGAAAUUGUGCGAAGAGGGAUCUCUGUCACAAGAGAGUUACAGCAUUGCGUGUCGUGCACUAGAGGAAACUUUUGGAAAUUGUACGAGUGUUAAUAAUUCUAGUAGAAGCCUUGUUGAUGCUGGCACAUCAGCCACCCAUGGUAUACUCUGCAUGGAAGAAGAUUCCCAAAGCAAAAAUAUUGUCAAGACAAAUAAAAAGAAGAAUCCAACCAAGAAAAGAAAGGUGAGUUUUGAACCAGAUGUUAUAACAGUAGGGACACAAGACAGCUUGCAACAAAUGGAUAAUAAACUAAACCCAAGAGCGGUAACCCUCGAUAGUUAUUAUGGCGCACAACAGAAUGUGCAAGGAAUGGUACAAUUGAACUUGAUGGCCCCGCGUGACAAUUAUUAUGGCAAUCAACAAACCAUUCAGGGGCUUGGACAAUUAAACUCAAUAGCCCCAAGCCAUGAUGGAUAUUACAGUGCUCAACAAAGCAUGCAUGCCCUGGGACAGAUGGAGUUUUUUAGUAGACCCAGUUUCACUUAUGGAUAUUCAUUUCAAUAGCAGGAUGAUCCCAAUGUGAGAACAACCUCACUGCAUGACGAUGCAUCAAGACAUGGGUAAGAAUCACCAAGGUAACGCUCCUGAAGUUGGAGGAGACACACACAAGUCACAAUAUUUUGAAGGAAAAAUUGGUUCAUGCCUUAUGAAUGAUGGCCUAGUAAAAACCUCGCGGUCUGGCGUCUGUAAAAUAAGAUAGAGUAGGUUCUUUAAUCUUUCCAGGCCCCCUUUGUCUUCUAAAAGCUCACUUGGAGUAUAAGACAGAUUUAAAUAGGGUCGUCAUAUGUUAUAUCUUUUGUAAAUGUUAUUAUUGUAUUGUAUGGUAUCAUAUCAGCUCAUCUUGUGGUGUUUAGCUUAAAAUAGGAUUAGUGCAAAUCAGAAUUAUUCAUUUGAAGUUCAACUUGAACCACUCACUGAUCCCUUUGUUGCUUCUGAUAUAUUAGCUAAAAAGCAGUUCCUGCUGAUUCAACUUCUAUCGCUUUCCCUCAUCUUAUUUCUUAACAGUGUUGUUGUGAUAUUGGGGCAAGAACUUUUGCUUAUUUAUCAAGGUUGAUUAUUUA
RNA transcript from Cannabis sativa, 3325 nucleotides. It is a transcript of the gene named protein FAR-RED ELONGATED HYPOCOTYL 3, with no coding region annotated. The transcript is spliced from 9 exons. Lineage: Eukaryota; Viridiplantae; Streptophyta; Magnoliopsida; Rosales; Cannabaceae. The record is from RefSeq and is a predicted model, not a curated record.